UUAGAUACCCUGGUAGUCCCACAGUAAACGAUGAAUACUCGCUGUUUGCGAUAUACAGUAAGCGGCCAAGCGAAAGCAUUAAGUAUUCCACCUGGGGAGUACGCCGGCAACGGUGAAACUCAAAGGAAUUGACGGGGGCCCGCACAAGCGGAGGAACAUGUGGUUUAAUUCGAUGAUACGCGAGGAACCUUACCCGGGCUUAAAUUGCACCUGAAUAACGUGGAAACAUGUUAGCCGCAAGGCAGGUGGUGAAGGUGCUGCAUGGNUUGUCGUCAGCUCGUGCCGUGAGGUGUCGGCUUAAGUGCCAUAACGAGCGCAACCCUUAUCUUUAGUUACUAACAGGUCAUGCUGAGGACUCUAGAGAGACUGCCGUCGUAAGAUGUGAGGAAGGGUGGGGAUGACGUCAAAUCAGCACGGCCCUUACGUCCGGNGCUACACACGUGUUAAAUGGGGGGUACAGAAGGCCGCUACCUGGCGACAGGAUGCUAAUCCCAAAAACCUCUCUCA
RNAcentral lists this ribosomal RNA (507 nucleotides) under uncultured bacterium. RNAcentral describes it as "bacterial SSU rRNA". It matches the Rfam family "Bacterial small subunit ribosomal RNA", at positions 778 to 1290 of the family's 1533-position model. The record is from RNAcentral.